GACGAACGCUGGCGGCGUGCUUAACACAUGCAAGUCGAACGGAAAGGCCCUGCUUUUGUGGGGUGCUCGAGUGGCGAACGGGUGAGUAACACGUGAGUAACCUGCCCUUGACUUUGUGAUAACUUCAGGAAACUGGGGCUAAUACAGGAUAGGAUCUACUGCUGCAUGGUGGGGGUUGGAAAGAUUCGGCGGUUGUGGAUGGACUCGCGGCGUAUCAGCUUGUUGGUGAGGUAGUGGCUUACCAAGGCUUUGACGGGUAGCCGGCCUGAGAGGGUGACCGGCCACACUGGAACGGAGACACGGACCAGACGCCGGAGGGAGGCAGCAGUAGGGAAUCGUCCGCAAUGGGCGAGAGCCUGACGGAGCAGCGCCGCGUGAGUGAUGAAGGUCUUGGGAGCGUGAAGCUCUGUUAUUAGGGAAGAACAAAUGUGUAAGGAAAUAUGCACGUCUUGACGGUACCUAAUCAGAAAGCAACGGCUAACUACGUG
This 488-nucleotide ribosomal RNA is filed under the name uncultured bacterium. RNAcentral describes it as "partial 16S ribosomal RNA". It matches the Rfam family "Bacterial small subunit ribosomal RNA", at positions 28 to 507 of the family's 1533-position model. The record is from RNAcentral.